Molecule: ribosomal RNA, 492 nt
Filed under: uncultured bacterium
Lineage: Bacteria
Description: partial 16S ribosomal RNA
Rfam family: Bacterial small subunit ribosomal RNA
Source: RNAcentral
AUUGAACGCUGGCGGCAUGCUUUACACAUGCAAGUCGAACGGUAACAGGCCUUCGGGUGCUGACGAGUGGCGAACGGGUGAGUAAUGCAUCGGAACGUACCCAGAGGUGGUGGAUAACGCAGCGAAAGCUGUGCUAAUACUGCAUGUGAUCUGAGGAUGAAAGCGGGGGACCGAGCAGCAAUGUUUGGCCUCGCGCCUUUGGAGCGGCCGAUGUCGGAUUAGCUAGUUGGUGGGGUAAAGGCCUACCAAGGCGACGAUCCGUAGCGGGUCUGAGAGGACGACCAGCCACACUGUGACUGAGACACGGCCCAGACUCCUACGGGAGGCAGCAGUGGGGAAUUUUGGACAAUGGGCGCAAGCCUGAUCCAGCAAUGCCGCGUGCGGGAAGAAGGCCUUCGGGUUGUAAACCGCUUUUGGCAGGAACGAAACGGUGUCCGCUAAUACCGGGCGCUAAUGACGGUACCUGCAGAAUAAGCACCGGCUAACUACGUG